UACGGAGGGUGCGAGCGUUGUCCGGAAUCACUGGGCGUAAAGGGCGCGUAGGCGGCGCGGGAAGUCAUCGGUGAAAGUUCAGGGCUCAACUCUGAAUCGGCCGGUGAUACUCUCGUGCUUGAGCACUGUAGAGGCAGGUGGAAUUCCGGGUGUAGCGGUGGAAUGCGUAGAGAUCGGGAGGAACACCCGUGGCGAAGGCGGCCACCUGGGCCGACCCUGACGCUGAGGCGCGAAGGCGUGGGGAGCGAACGGG
Molecule: ribosomal RNA, 253 nt
Filed under: uncultured bacterium
Lineage: Bacteria
Description: partial 16S ribosomal RNA
Rfam family: Bacterial small subunit ribosomal RNA
Source: RNAcentral